GGCUGAAUGGCUCAGUUGGUUAGAAUAUGGUGCCGAUAAUCCCAAAGUUGCAGGUUCAAUCCCUGUAUGGGACA
Podarcis lilfordi (Lilford's wall lizard) is the source of this 74-nucleotide non-coding RNA. The record is from the annotation of a GenBank genome assembly. NCBI's taxonomy places the organism in Eukaryota, Metazoa, Chordata, Lepidosauria, Squamata, Lacertidae.